AACGAACGCUGGCGGCAUGCCUAACACAUGCAAGUCGAACGAGACCUUCGGGUCUAGUGGCGCACGGGUGCGUAACGCGUGGGAACCUGCCCUUAGGUUCGGAAUAACUCCCCGAAAGGGGUCCUAAUACCGGAUAAUGUCUUCGGACCAAAGAUUUAUCGCCUUUGGAUGGGCCCGCGUUGGAUUCGCUAGUUGGUAGGGUAAAAGCCUACCAAGGCGAGGAUCCAUAGCUGGUCUGAGAGGAUGAUCAGCCACACUGGGACUGAGACACGGCCCAGACUCCUACGGGAGGCAGCAGUGGGGAAUAUUGGACGAGGGGCGAAAGCCUGAUCAAGCAAUGCCGGGUGAGUGAUGAAGGCCUUAGGGUUGUAAAGCUCUUUUACCCGGGAUGAUAAUGACAGUACCGGGAGAAUAAGCACCGGCUAACUACGUG
Molecule: ribosomal RNA, 433 nt
Filed under: uncultured bacterium
Lineage: Bacteria
Description: partial 16S ribosomal RNA
Rfam family: Bacterial small subunit ribosomal RNA
Source: RNAcentral